GGAGGAGUUCUGUGCGCGCACCCUCCCCUCUCUUCUGCUUCCCCUCCCCGUUUGUCGGACAGCUGAGGAGAACCUAGACGCUGACUGCAAUCGCAGCACUGGCUCCCGCGACCCUAGCGAGAGCGAGGGAGCAAUUGCAACUCUGAGAGGCGCGGGAGGAGAGCCGGGCUCCGUGCAGCGCUGCCUCCAGUCGGGUCCUGUCCCGCGGACCUCCUCCCCCCGCCGCAGGGUCUGGCGGGGAGGAGGAGUGUGUGUGCUGGGGGAGCCGGGCUGGAGUCGGAGCCGAGCCUCGGAGGAGAUGGGGAACCCGGGAGAAAAGCGGCGGGAGCAGCAGAAGCAGCAGAAGCCUUGUUUCGCUCCGGGGCUGUAGCAGCUUUCUCCUUUUCCUUGGAAUGAUGAUCAGGCACUGAAGGCAGGCACCUAAUUUCCAUUCCAUACAAGGAGUAAGAAGUACUGUUGCUCAGAUGUCACACCAAACACUGGAUUACAGGAAGGAAAUUUUUUAAAAACAUCACAAGUGGCGUUGAUGAGAUUCUUUUAUUUUUGCCUUUGAAGAAGUGAUAUUCUGAUGAC
Antechinus flavipes (yellow-footed antechinus) is the source of this 573-nucleotide long non-coding RNA. RefSeq lists it as uncharacterized. NCBI's taxonomy places the organism in Eukaryota, Metazoa, Chordata, Mammalia, Dasyuromorphia, Dasyuridae. The record is from RefSeq and is a predicted model, not a curated record. The transcript has 3 exons.